UCAAGGCGAAAGAACAGCGACGACUUGGAAUGUUUUAUAGUUGUUGAAAUUCUAAAAAACGUGGGCGAUGAGUUUACUAGUCGUAUUGAAUCAACGUCUAUUUAUGUUCCAACCGCUGAUCCAAAUUAUGUAAUACUUCCUCCACAUCUGGUAGUUCUCAAGUCCUGGCUUAAAAAAGAAAACUUCCGAACACAAACGCGAUGCCUGGAAGCCAAUGACAUAAAAUAUUGUCCUAUGGGAACAGACUGCUUUGAAGACAACGUCAGCUAUUGGUGUACGUGCUCAGAAGGAUCUACCCGGUUGAUAAGUUUGUUCGAUGAGAAAGAUAAGGAGGAAAAGUAUCCAACUGAAAUAUGUAUAGACAAGAACGAGUGCCUGCAACUUGAUAUAUGUCCGGAAAACUCAGAAUGUCGUAACUUAAUUGGGACGUACGAGUGUAACUGUAAGAGUGGUUUUCGGAAACAUGAUAGUGAUCCUAAGUGUGUUGGUGA
Molecule: long non-coding RNA, 491 nt
Organism: Limulus polyphemus (Atlantic horseshoe crab)
Lineage: Eukaryota; Metazoa; Arthropoda; Merostomata; Xiphosura; Limulidae
Exons: 3
Source: RefSeq, a predicted model, not a curated record